UUAAGCGACUAAGCGUACACGGUGGAUGCCCUGGCAGUCAGAGGCGAUGAAGGACGUGCUAAUCUGCGAUAAGCGUCGGUAAGGUGAUAUGAACCGUUAUAACCGGCGAUUUCCGAAUGGGGAAACCCAGUGUGAUUCGUCACACUAUCAUUAACUGAAUCCAUAGGUUAAUGAGGCGAACCGGGGGAACUGAAACAUCUAAGUACCCCGAGGAAAAGAAAUCAACCGAGAUUCCCCCAGUAGCGGCGAGCGAACGGGGAGCAGCCCAGAGCCUGAAUCAGUGUGUGUGUUAGUGGAAGCGUCUGGAAAGGCGCGCGAUACAGGGUGACAGCCCCGUACACAAAAAUGCACAUACUGUGAGCUCGAUGAGUAGGGCGGGACACGUGGUAUCCUGUCUGAAUAUGGGGGGACCAUCCUCCAAGGCUAAAUACUCCUGACUGACCGAUAGUGAACCAGUACCGUGAGGGAAAGGCGAAAAGAACCCCGGCGAGGGGAGUGAAAAAGAACCUGAAACCGUGUACGUACAAGCAGUGGGAGCACAGAGCAAUCUGUGUGACUGCGUACCUUUUGUAUAAUGGGUCAGCGACUUAUAUUCUGUAGCAAGGUUAACCGAAUAGGGGAGCCGAAGGGAAACCGAGUCUUAACUGGGCGUUAAGUUGCAGGGUAUAGACCCGAAACCCGGUGAUCUAGCCAUGGGCAGGUUGAAGGUUGGGUAACACUAACUGGAGGACCGAACCGACUAAUGUUGAAAAAUUAGCGGAUGACUUGUGGCUGGGGGUGAAAGGCCAAUCAAACCGGGAGAUAGCUGGUUCUCCCCGAAAGCUAUUUAGGUAGCGCCUCGUGAAUUCAUCUCCGGGGGUAGAGCACUGUUUCGGCAAGGGGGUCAUCCCGACUUACCAACCCGAUGCAAACUGCGAAUACCGGAGAAUGUUAUCACGGGAGACACACGGCGGGUGCUAACGUCCGUCGUGAAGAGGGAAACAACCCAGACCGCCAGCUAAGGUCCCAAAGUCAUGGUUAAGUGGGAAACGAUGUGGGAAGGCCCAGACAGCCAGGAUGUUGGCUUAGAAGCAGCCAUCAUUUAAAGAAAGCGUAAUAGCUCACUGGUCGAGUCGGCCUGCGCGGAAGAUGUAACGGGGCUAAACCAUGCACCGAAGCUGCGGCAGCGACGCUUAUGCGUUGUUGGGUAGGGGAGCGUUCUGUAAGCCUGCGAAGGUGUGCUGUGAGGCAUGCUGGAGGUAUCAGAAGUGCGAAUGCUGACAUAAGUAACGAUAAAGCGGGUGAAAAGCCCGCUCGCCGGAAGACCAAGGGUUCCUGUCCAACGUUAAUCGGGGCAGGGUGAGUCGACCCCUAAGGCGAGGCCGAAAGGCGUAGUCGAUGGGAAACAGGUUAAUAUUCCUGUACUUGGUGUUACUGCGAAGGGGGGACGGAGAAGGCUAUGUUGGCCGGGCGACGGUUGUCCCGGUUUAAGCGUGUAGGCUGGUUUUCCAGGCAAAUCCGGAAAAUCAAGGCUGAGGCGUGAUGACGAGGCACUACGGUGCUGAAGCAACAAAUGCCCUGCUUCCAGGAAAAGCCUCUAAGCAUCAGGUAACAUCAAAUCGUACCCCAAACCGACACAGGUGGUCAGGUAGAGAAUACCAAGGCGCUUGAGAGAACUCGGGUGAAGGAACUAGGCAAAAUGGUGCCGUAACUUCGGGAGAAGGCACGCUGAUAUGUAGGUGAAGUCCCUCGCGGAUGGAGCUGAAAUCAGUCGAAGAUACCAGCUGGCUGCAACUGUUUAUUAAAAACACAGCACUGUGCAAACACGAAAGUGGACGUAUACGGUGUGACGCCUGCCCGGUGCCGGAAGGUUAAUUGAUGGGGUUAGCGCAAGCGAAGCUCUUGAUCGAAGCCCCGGUAAACGGCGGCCGUAACUAUAACGGUCCUAAGGUAGCGAAAUUCCUUGUCGGGUAAGUUCCGACCUGCACGAAUGGCGUAAUGAUGGCCAGGCUGUCUCCACCCGAGACUCAGUGAAAUUGAACUCGCUGUGAAGAUGCAGUGUACCCGCGGCAAGACGGAAAGACCCCGUGAACCUUUACUAUAGCUUGACACUGAACAUUGAGCCUUGAUGUGUAGGAUAGGUGGGAGGCUUUGAAGUGUGGACGCCAGUCUGCAUGGAGCCGACCUUGAAAUACCACCCUUUAAUGUUUGAUGUUCUAACGUUGACCCGUAAUCCGGGUUGCGGACAGUGUCUGGUGGGUAGUUUGACUGGGGCGGUCUCCUCCUAAAGAGUAACGGAGGAGCACGAAGGUUGGCUAAUCCUGGUCGGACAUCAGGAGGUUAGUGCAAUGGCAUAAGCCAGCUUGACUGCGAGCGUGACGGCGCGAGCAGGUGCGAAAGCAGGUCAUAGUGAUCCGGUGGUUCUGAAUGGAAGGGCCAUCGCUCAACGGAUAAAAGGUACUCCGGGGAUAACAGGCUGAUACCGCCCAAGAGUUCAUAUCGACGGCGGUGUUUGGCACCUCGAUGUCGGCUCAUCACAUCCUGGGGCUGAAGUAGGUCCCAAGGGUAUGGCUGUUCGCCAUUUAAAGUGGUACGCGAGCUGGGUUUAGAACGUCGUGAGACAGUUCGGUCCCUAUCUGCCGUGGGCGCUGGAGAAUUGAGGGGGGCUGCUCCUAGUACGAGAGGACCGGAGUGGACGCAUCACUGGUGUUCGGGUUGUCAUGCCAAUGGCACUGCCCGGUAGCUAAAUGCGGAAGAGAUAAGUGCUGAAAGCAUCUAAGCACGAAACUUGCCCCGAGAUGAGUUCUCCCUGACUCCUUGAGAGUCCUGAAGGAACGUUGAAGACGACGACGUUGAUAGGCCGGGUGUGUAAGCGCAGCGAUGCGUUGAGCUAACCGGUACUAAUGAACCGUGAGGCUUAACCU
Molecule: ribosomal RNA, 2903 nt
Filed under: Escherichia coli
Lineage: Bacteria; Pseudomonadati; Pseudomonadota; Gammaproteobacteria; Enterobacterales; Enterobacteriaceae
Description: 23S ribosomal RNA
Rfam family: Bacterial large subunit ribosomal RNA
Source: RNAcentral